UAAACAUAUUACCGAAGCUGUGGAUUGUCCUUUGGACAAUGGUAGGAGAGCGUUCUAAGGGCGUCGAAGCAUGAUCGCAAGGACAUGUGGAGCGCUUAGAAGUGAGAAUGCCGGUGUGAGUAGCGAAAGACGGGUGAGAAUCCCGUCCACCGAUUGACUAAGGUUUCCAGAGGAAGGCUCGUCCGCUCUGGGUUAGUCGGGUCCUAAGCUGAGGCCGACAGGCGUAGGCGAUGGAUAACAGGUUGAUAUUCCUGUACCACCUAGUAUCGUUUUAAUCGAUGGGGGGACGCAGUAGGAUAGGCGAAGCGUGCUGUUGGAGUGCACGUCCAAGCAGUAAGGCUGAGUGUUAGGCAAAUCCGGCACUCAUAAGGCUGAGCUGUGAUGGGGAGAGGAAAUUGUUUCCUCGAGUCGUUGAUUUCACACUGCCGAGAAAAGCCUCUAGAUAGAUAACAGGUGCCCGUACCGCAAACCGACACAGGUAGUCAAGAUGAGAAUUCUAAGGUGAGCGAGCGAACUCUCGUUAAGGAACUCGGCAAAAUGACCCCGUAACUUCGGGAGAAGGGGUGCUCUUUAGGGUUCACGCCCAGAAGAGCCGCAGUGAAUAGGCCCAAGCGACUGUUUAUCAAAAACACAGGUCUCUGCUAAACCGUAAGGUGAUGUAUAGGGGCUGACGCCUGCCCGGUGCUGGAAGGUUAAGAGGAGUGGUUAGCUUCUGCGAAGCUACGAAUCGAAGCCCCAGUAAACGGCGGCCGUAACUAUAACGGUCCUAAGGUAGCGAAAUUCCUUGUCGGGUAAGUUCCGACCCGCACGAAAGGCGUAACGAUUUGGGCACUGUCUCAACGAGAGACUCGGUGAAAUCAUAGUACCUGUGAAGAUGCAGGUUACCCGCGACAGGACGGAAAGACCCCGUGGAGCUUUACUGUAGCCUGAUAUUGAAAUUCGGCACAGCUUGUACAGGAUAGGUAGGAGCCUUUGAAACGUGAGCGCUAGCUUACGUGGAGGCGUUGGUGGGAUACUACCCUAGCUGUGUUGGCUUUCUAACCCGCACCACUUAUCGUGGUGGGAGACAGUGUCAGGCGGGCAGUUUGACUGGGGCGGUCGCCUCCUAAAAGGUAACGGAGGCGCUCAAAGGUUCCCUCAGAAUGGUUGGAAAUCAUUCAUAGAGUGUAAAGGCAUAAGGGAGCUUGACUGCGAGACCUACAAGUCGAGCAGGGUCGAAAGACGGACUUAGUGAUCCGGUGGUUCCGCAUGGAAGGGCCAUCGCUCAACGGAUAAAAGCUACCCCGGGGAUAACAGGCUUAUCUCCCCCAAGAGUUCACAUCGACGGGGAGGUUUGGCACCUCGAUGUCGGCUCAUCGCAUCCUGGGGCUGUAGUCGGUCCCAAGGGUUGGGCUGUUCGCCCAUUAAAGCGGUACGCUAGCUGGGUUCAGAACGUCGUGAGACAGUUCGGUCCCUAUCCGUCGUGGGCGUAGGAAAUUUGAGAGGAGCUGUCCUUAGUACGAGAGGACCGGGAUGGACAUACCUCUGGUGUACCAGUUGUCGUGCCAACGGCAUAGCUGGGUAGCUAUGUAUGGACGGGAUAAGUGCUGAAAGCAUCUAAGCAUGAAGCCCCCCUCAAGAUGAGAUUUCCCAACUUCGGUUAUAAGAUCCCUCGAAGAUGACGAGGUUAAUAGGUUCGAGGUGGAAGCGUGGUGACACGUGGAGCUGACGAAUACUAAUCGAUCGAAGACUUAAUCAAUUUUUAAA
This 1746-nucleotide ribosomal RNA is filed under the name Staphylococcus epidermidis. Its description in RNAcentral is "bacterial LSU rRNA". It matches the Rfam family "Bacterial large subunit ribosomal RNA", at positions 1183 to 2925 of the family's 2925-position model. The record is from RNAcentral. Lineage: Bacteria; Bacillati; Bacillota; Bacilli; Caryophanales; Staphylococcaceae.